Molecule: non-coding RNA, 71 nt
Organism: Podarcis lilfordi (Lilford's wall lizard)
Lineage: Eukaryota; Metazoa; Chordata; Lepidosauria; Squamata; Lacertidae
Source: the annotation of a GenBank genome assembly
GCCCCCAUCUCAGUUGGUAGAGCAUGAGACUCCUUAUCUCGGGUCCAUGGGUUCAAGAGCCAUGUUGGGCA